This 484-nucleotide ribosomal RNA is filed under the name uncultured bacterium. RNAcentral's name for it is "partial 16S ribosomal RNA". It matches the Rfam family "Bacterial small subunit ribosomal RNA", at positions 30 to 507 of the family's 1533-position model. The record is from RNAcentral.
AUUGAACGCUCGCGGCAGGCCUAACUCACGCAAGUCGAGUGGCUGAAGGGAGCUUGCUCCUGGAUCCAGCGGCGGACGGGUGAGUAAUGACUAGGAAUCUGCCUGGUAGUGGGGGAUAACGUCCGGCAACGGGCGCUAAUACCGCAUACGUUCUGAGGGCGAAAGUGGGGGACCUUCGGCCCUCACGCUUUCAGAUGAGCCUAGGUCGGAUUAGCUAGUUGGUGGGGUAAAGGCCUACCAAGGCGACGAUCCGUAACUGGUCUGAGAGGAUGAUCAGUCACACGGGAACUGGGACACGGUCCAGACUCCUACGGGAGGCAGCAGUGGGGAAUAUUGGACAAUGGGCGAAAGCCUGAUCCAGCCAUGCCGCGUGUGUGAAGAAGGUCUUCGGAUUGUAAAGCACAUUAAGUUGGGAGGAAGGGCAGUAAGUUAAUACCUUGCUGUUUUGACGAUACCAACAGAAUAAGCACCGGCUGACUUCGUG